RNAcentral lists this ribosomal RNA (477 nucleotides) under uncultured organism. Its description in RNAcentral is "partial 16S ribosomal RNA". It matches the Rfam family "Bacterial small subunit ribosomal RNA", at positions 333 to 801 of the family's 1533-position model. The record is from RNAcentral.
ACACUCCUACGGGAGGCAGCAGUGGGGAAUUUUGGACAAUGGGCGAAAGCCUGAUCCAGCAAUGCCGCGUGUGUGAAGAAGGCCUUCGGGUUGUAAAGCACUUUUGUCCGGAAAGAAAUCCUUGGCUCUAAUACAGUCGGGGGAUGACGGUACCGGAAGAAUAAGCACCGGCUAACUACGUGCCAGCAGCCGCGGUAAUACGUAGGGUGCGAGCGUUAAUCGGAAUUACUGGGCGUAAAGCGUGCGCAGGCGGUUUGCUAAGACCGAUGUGAAAUCCCCGGGCUCAACCUGGGAACUGCAUUGGUGACUGGCAGGCUAGAGUAUGGCAGAGGGGGGUAGAAUUCCACGUGUAGCAGUGAAAUGCGUAGAGAUGUGGAGGAAUACCGAUGGCGAAGGCAGCCCCCUGGGCCAAUACUGACGCUCAUGCACGAAAGCGUGGGGAGCAAACAGGAUUAGAUACCCGUGUAGUCCCAUGAU